RNAcentral lists this ribosomal RNA (181 nucleotides) under Penaeus monodon (black tiger shrimp). Its description in RNAcentral is "partial 16S ribosomal RNA". It matches the Rfam family "Archaeal large subunit ribosomal RNA", at positions 1940 to 2143 of the family's 2987-position model. The record is from RNAcentral. Lineage: Eukaryota; Metazoa; Arthropoda; Malacostraca; Decapoda; Penaeidae.
UAAAGUCUGGCCUGCCCACUGAAUUAUUUUUAAAGGGCCGCGGUAUACUGACCGUGCGAAGGUAGCAUAAUCAUUAGUCUUUUAAUUGAAGGCUUGUAUGAAUGGUUGGACAAAAAGUAAUCUGUCUCAGUUAUAAUAGUUGAACUUAACUUUUAAGUGAAAAGGCUUAAAUACUUUAAGG